CACCAGUCACCAGAGCCUACAGGCCCACGUGCUCUUUUCUUUGUCUUUUCUUAUUUCCCCCUUUUAUUCUUGCACUGACUUCUUUUUUCAGAAAAGAAGGAAAUAAGAAAUCAAAGCUGAAGGAUUCUGCAGGAGCAUAAAUUUUGAACAAUGGAAGCCUACUCUGCACUUGCUCUGUUUGUUUUUCUGAUUAAUGGUGUGGCUGCUGAUGAUGUGACAUCAAUCUCAGUUAUGCAGGGAAAUGCAAUUGAAAUGUCUUCUGACGUUACCAAACAACAACGUGACAAGAUGCUGUGGUAUUUUAAUGAUACUCUGAUAGCUCUGAUCAAUGGAGAGCCCAGUACUAGUUGUCUGUAUUAUGGUGAAGAUGAGAUCUUCAGAGACAGACUGAAGGUGGACUAUGCAACUGGAUCUCUGAUCAUCACAGACAUCAGUCCUGAACACUCUGGACGUUAUGAAGCAAAUUUCAUCCAAAGCAAGAGCACUGGAACCAGCCACAGCUUGAACCGAAACAGCAAGUGUGACGGCACAAAAAUCAUCAAGAAAACGAGCAACAUUGGCGACAGCGUAAAAACAUUCAGAGUUUCUGUCACUGCUUAUCUGUCUGAUCCGCUCAACAUCAAUGAAGAAUUGUUCAAUAUGGAGAAGGAGCAAGAGUCUGAAGAGAGUUCAGUACAGUCUUUAACUCUUGUAGCAGUAAUGUGUGCUGGUGUUGUUGCUGUUGUUCUGUUGCUGGCUGUUGUUGUUGGUGUGAUAUACCAUCGCCGCAGGAGCUCUAAUAAAGAAGACAGAAAGAUAAACUCAUCUGAGCAUCUGCUGAAAGUCCCAAUAUGAGAAAGAGAGAGGUCGCUUUGUCUAAGGGCAUCUCAACAGGAUCAGCCCAGAUAUUCUUCUUCUUUUUCCCUCAAAUUGUGGCCAAAAAUCAUAAAAUUGGUCCCAGUCGUGCCCCGCUGCUCAGCCCAGACACUCCUCUGUCUGAUACUAGGUGGCGCUUAUAACAAGCUGAACGCUUUGGGCAUGAUUUCUUUGGAAGUGUGCUGCUGUAACCUCUUUCAUCAAACCCGAUCGCCGAAGAUUCAAGACGGAUUUUGCUGUAAAAGCCACACCAUUAGACCCAUCUCGACAGGAUCGCUAAUCAAACUUGAGCCUUUGGUGCUUGUGCGUGUGGCUAUAUUUAUAUCUUUAUGCCCUUAUUAGCAGUCAAAGAACAACACAGUGUUUGUGGAAGAGAUUUGUCUUUAGUAGUUUGAUGAAGGUUGAGAUGAUCUCAGCAGACCAGAUGGAAGUUGAAUGCUGUGUUGGUGAAAGUUACUUUUAAAAGUAACGUGUUAUAUUAUUGUGUUAUUCCAUAAAAAGUAACUAAUUGAGUUACUUAGGUACUUUUUAUGGAAAGGCCCUAUCAUGCCAAACGUGAAAUGAUUAAGCCUCAAACUGAAUGAAAUGCCUUUUCCUCUGCACCUCACUCCCAAUUUUUCUCAACAUGGGAACAGGAGAGCUGUCGGACAACAAAUGGGAAAACAAACUUAUUUCAAAAAGUAACUGUGAUAUUUCCUUUGUCUGUGAAGUGACUUUGUGUCCCAUUUAGAUUGAACCACUAGCUGGUGGUUAUUUACUUUAGUGGCUAUUGAAAUAAUAUAAAUAUGUCUACUUCAUUUCUAUUUAUUUACACAUAAUCUGUUGGAAGUAGUCUUGCUGUAAUUAUACAAUGCAUGCUUGUGAUUAUUAAAAAGAUGAAAUAACCUGCAUAGACCCUGCAUAAAUUAUUGAAUGCAGUAAUGGUACCAUCACAAUGAGGACACAAAUUCACUGUUCACAACUUGCACUUUCAUUGGGUCUCAAUGUUUUAAAUGAUUUUCUUUGUUGUCAUUUGCAUCUCUGUACUAACUUGUUUUAGGCCACUUGUCAUGCAGCACUUUAUCGCAGAGCACGACUGUCACUUCUGGAAGUUAAAAAUCCCUUUACUUUCCUUCACAGGGCAAUUGAUUUUUAGCUAUUCUGCACAGACCGUCAAGACAAACCAACCACAGACCCACAGGAGCAAACUUUAAACGGACACGCUCCACACACACUCACAAUCACGUCUGCAUUGUUUAAAUGCUGUAAAAGUGAACCUUUGUUGUUCACCAAAUAAGAGCUGUAAAAAGCUCUCUCAUUAUCAUAUUUAUUCGUCUAUAUGCCUAUACGUCUGCAAAAAACACAAACAAACAAACAAGACAGGUUUUUGUCUGUAAUGGUUCGUUUGGGAUAAAUUGCCACCUCAGAAUGGCUGAUGUCUUCAUUGUAUUUGUGUUUAUUAAAUUAUAAUUAAUUGAGAUAUUAUGCAUUAAGUAGGCUGCACAUCAUUCAUCAUAAUCACCAGUUACGUCUACGGACCAACUAAGUGCAAUUAUUCAGCCUGAACUUAAAGCUUAUUGUCAUUAUAAUAACACCCGUUUAUAAAAGUAAAAUAAAAAAUAGGUCUAUAUAUGAUUCAUAGAUGUUUUUCAGUUAAGUAGGUGCUGUUCCGUUUUCAGACUCAGUUUUAUUGGCAAAGGCAAUAUUUCUACAUUUGUGUUUCCAAAGCAUUUGCAGUGUUGCAGCCUACAGUUAAAGCAGUGAAAAAUGUAUGAAAAUAAGAAAAUAUAUUGAAAAGGAAAGAUGAAAUGAAUGGCAGCAGGAAAUAUUAAAAACUACGCAUCGUUUUGGCCACUAGAUGGAAUCGAUGCAGUAUUGAAAGUUUUGACUUUUAUCAUGAUCCAAGAGAGCAAAGCAUGGUGAGCAAAAUGUCAAAUCACUGAAGAGUACCUUAAGACCACGUUUUCUUUUGAAUGUAAUUAUGUUUCUUUUUUGUAUAUAUAAAAUUGAAAAUCCUUUAUACUUUA
Carassius auratus (goldfish) is the source of this 2861-nucleotide RNA transcript. RefSeq lists it as uncharacterized. NCBI's taxonomy places the organism in Eukaryota, Metazoa, Chordata, Actinopteri, Cypriniformes, Cyprinidae. The record is from RefSeq and is a predicted model, not a curated record. The transcript is spliced from 7 exons.